RNAcentral lists this ribosomal RNA (505 nucleotides) under uncultured bacterium. RNAcentral describes it as "partial 16S ribosomal RNA". It matches the Rfam family "Bacterial small subunit ribosomal RNA", at positions 28 to 507 of the family's 1533-position model. The record is from RNAcentral.
GACGAACGCUGGCGGCGUGCCUAAUACAUGCAAGUAGAACGCACAGUUUAUACCGUAGCUUGCUACACCAUAGACUGUGAGUUGCGAACGGGUGAGUAACGCGUAGGUAACCUGCCUGGUAGCGGGGGAUAACUAUUGGAAACGAUAGCUAAUACCGCAUAAUAUUAAUUAUUGCAUGAUAAUUAAUUGAAAGGUGCAAUUGCACCACUACCAGAUGGACCUGCGUUGUAUUAGCUAGUAGGUGAGGUAACGGCGCACCUAGGCGACGAUACAUAGCCGACCGGCGAGGGUGAGCGGCCACCCUGGGACUGGGACACGGCCCAGACGCCUUCGGGAGGCAGCAAGAGGGAAUCGUCAGCAAUGAGCGGAAGUCUGACCGAGAAACGCCGCGUGAGUGAAGAAGGUUUUCGGAUCGUAAAGCUCGGUUGUAAGAGAAGAAAGGGUGUGAGAGUGGAAAGUUCACACUGUGACGGUAUCUGACCAGAAAGGGACGGCUAACUACGUG